This 253-nucleotide ribosomal RNA is filed under the name uncultured microorganism. RNAcentral's name for it is "partial 16S ribosomal RNA". It matches the Rfam family "Bacterial small subunit ribosomal RNA", at positions 524 to 776 of the family's 1533-position model. The record is from RNAcentral.
UACGGAGGGGGCUAGCGUUGUUCGGAAUUACUGGGCGUAAAGCGCACGUAGGCGGACUGGAAAGUUGGGGGUGAAAUCCCGGGGCUCAACCCCGGAACUGCCUUCAAAACUAUCAGUCUUGAGUUCGAGAGAGGUGAGUGGAAUUCCGAGUGUAGAGGUGAAAUUCGUAGAUAUUCGGAGGAACACCAGUGGCGAAGGCGGCUCACUGGCUCGAUACUGACGCUGAGGUGCGAAAGCGUGGGGAGCGAACGGG